This 463-nucleotide ribosomal RNA is filed under the name uncultured bacterium. RNAcentral's name for it is "partial 16S ribosomal RNA". It matches the Rfam family "Bacterial small subunit ribosomal RNA", at positions 29 to 523 of the family's 1533-position model. The record is from RNAcentral.
AACGAACGCUGGCGGCAGGCUUAACACAUGCAAGUCGAACGCGCCCUUCGGGGCGAGGGGCAGACGGGUGAGUAACGCGUGGGAACCUACCUUUUGGUACGGAAUAACUCAGGGAAACUUGAGCUAAUACCGUAUAAGCCCUGACUUUUAAUCGGGUUGGGGGAAAGAUUAAUCGCCAAAGGAUGGGCCCGCGUCGGAUUAGCUAGUUGGUGGGGUAAGGGCCUACCAAGGGGACGAUCCGUAGCUGGUCUGAGAGGAUGAUCAGCCACACUGGGACUGAGACACGGCCCAGACUCCUACGGGAGGCAGCAGUGGGGAAUAUUGGACAAUGGGGGCAACCCUGAUCCAGCCAUGCCGCGUGAGUGAUGAAGGCCUUAGGGUUGUAAAGCUCUUUCGCCGGUGAAGAUAAUGACGGUAACCGGAGAAGAAGCCCCGGCUAACUUCGUGCCAGCCGCCGCCGUAA